UAGUACGGCGAGUGAAGAGGGAAGAGCCCAAGAUUGAAAGCUGGCGCCUUCGGCGUCCGCAUUGUAAUCUCAAGAAGUGUUUUCCGCUUCAGACCAUGCCUAAGUCCCUUGGAAAAGGGCAUCAUAGAGGGUGAUAAUCCCGUACAUGGCAUGGAGCGCCCGAAGCUUUGUGAUACGCUCUCUAAGAGUCGAGUUGUUUGGGAAUGCAGCUCAAAAUGGGUGGUAAAUGCCAUCCAAGGCUAAAUAUUGGGGAGAGACCGAUAGCGAACAAGUACAGUGAUGGAAAGAUGAAAAGAACUUUGAAAAGAGAGUUAAACAGUACGUGAAAUUGCCAAAAGGGAAGGGUAGGAGGUCAGAGAUGCGUCGCAGGAUUCAGCCUUGCUUUUGCUUGGUGUUUUUCCUGCGUUGCAGGCCAACGUCGGUUUUGGGCACUGGAGAAGGGUAGGAGGAACGUGGCACCUCUCGGGAUGUGUUAUAGCCUCCUACUGGAUACAGCGACCGAGACCGAGGAACGCAGCGUACUCGUAAGAGCGGGCCUUUUGGCACCUUUACGCUUAGGGCGUUGGCAUAAUGGCCCUCUACCACCCGUCUUGA
Molecule: ribosomal RNA, 594 nt
Filed under: uncultured Pseudozyma
Lineage: Eukaryota; Fungi; Basidiomycota; Ustilaginomycetes; Ustilaginales; Ustilaginaceae
Description: eukaryotic LSU rRNA
Rfam family: Eukaryotic large subunit ribosomal RNA
Source: RNAcentral